UCCUUUGUAGUGUAAUGGCUAUCACGGUUCGCUUUCACCGAGCAGAUCGGGGUUCGAUUCCCCGCAAGGGAG
This is a transfer RNA of Lodderomyces elongisporus NRRL YB-4239, 72 nucleotides long. It matches the Rfam family "tRNA". From Rfam's summary of the family: Transfer RNA (tRNA) molecules are approximately 80 nucleotides in length. Their secondary structure includes four short double-helical elements and three loops (D, anti-codon, and T loops). Further hydrogen bonds mediate the characteristic L-shaped molecular structure. tRNAs have two regions of fundamental functional importance: the anti-codon, which is responsible for specific mRNA codon recognition, and the 3' end, to which the tRNAs corresponding amino acid is attached (by aminoacyl-tRNA synthetases). tRNAs cope with the degeneracy of the genetic code in two manners: having more than one tRNA (with a specific anti-codon) for a particular amino acid; and 'wobble' base-pairing, i.e. permitting non-standard base-pairing at the 3rd anti-codon position. The record is from Rfam. Lineage: Eukaryota; Fungi; Ascomycota; Pichiomycetes; Serinales; Debaryomycetaceae.